AUUAGGUCUCGUCUACCA
RNAcentral lists this non-coding RNA (18 nucleotides) under Arabidopsis thaliana (thale cress). Lineage: Eukaryota; Viridiplantae; Streptophyta; Magnoliopsida; Brassicales; Brassicaceae. The record is from RNAcentral.